Non-coding RNA from Tinamus guttatus (white-throated tinamou), 718 nucleotides. Lineage: Eukaryota; Metazoa; Chordata; Aves; Tinamiformes; Tinamidae. The record is from the annotation of a RefSeq genome assembly.
GCGCGUGGGGACGCACAGCGAGUGGCAUUGCGCCAUGGCCUGGGCCCCUCUCCUCCUCGCGGUGCUCGCCCACGGCUCAGGUUCCCUGGUCCAGGCAGCAGUGACUCAGGAACCGGCCUCGCUGGACGUGUCCCCGGGAGGCACCGCCAAGAUCUCCUGCUCUGGUAGCAGCUACUAUGGCUGGUACCAGCAGAAACCUGGUGGUUCCCUGGUCCCUGUGAUUUAUUACAACGACAAGAGACCCUCGGGCAUCCCUGAACGAUUCUCCGCUUCCACCUCUGGCUCCACAAACACCUUAACCAUCACUGGGGUGCAAGCCGAGGAUGAGGCCGUGUAUUACUGUGGUGACAACAGUGGUGUUUUCGGCGCGGGGACCCAGUUGAACGUCCUGGGCCAGCCCACGGUCUCCCCCAGUGUGUAUCUCUUCCCUCCGUCCGCGGACGAGAUCAGCUCAAAGCAAAAGGCCACUUUGGUGUGUCUGAUAGCCGACUUCUACCCUGGUACUGCACCUGUUGUCUGGAAGGUUGAUGGCAUCACCAGAACCGCUAACGUGGAGACCACCACGCCCCAGAGGCAGAGCAACACCAAGUACAUGGGUAGCAGCUACCUGUCGUUGACUGCUGACGAAUGGAAGGGACAUGACACGUACACCUGUGAGGUCACGCACAGUGGCCAGAAAUUCGAGAAGGUCAUCAAGAGAUCUGAGUGCUCCGUCUAA